RNAcentral lists this ribosomal RNA (495 nucleotides) under uncultured bacterium. RNAcentral's name for it is "partial 16S ribosomal RNA". It matches the Rfam family "Bacterial small subunit ribosomal RNA", at positions 28 to 507 of the family's 1533-position model. The record is from RNAcentral.
GAUGAACGCUGGCGGCGUGCCUAAUACAUGCAAGUAGAACGCUGAAGGAGGAGCUUGCUCUUCUGGAUGAGUUGCGAACGGGUGAGUAACGCGUAGGUAACCUGCCUGGUAGCGGGGGAUAACUAUUGGAAACGAUAGCUAAUACCGCAUGACAACAGUUAUUGCAUGAUAACUGUUUAAAAGGGGCAACUGCUCCACUACCAGAUGGACCUGCGUUGUAUUAGCUAGUUGGUGAGGUAACGGCUCACCAAGGCGACGAUACAUAGCCGACCUGAGAGGGUGAUCGGCCACACUGGGACUGAGACACGGCCCAGACUCCUACGGGAGGCAGCAGUAGGGAAUCUUCGGCAAUGGACGGAAGUCUGACCGAGCAACGCCGCGCGAGUGAAGAAGGUUUUCGGAUCGUAAAGCUCUGUUGUAAGAGAAGAACGAGUGUGAGAGUGGAAAGUUCACACUGUGACGGUAUCUUACCAGAAAGGGACGGCUAACUACGUG